RNAcentral lists this long non-coding RNA (1147 nucleotides) under Human betaherpesvirus 5. RNAcentral's name for it is "RNA5.0". The record is from RNAcentral. Lineage: Duplodnaviria; Heunggongvirae; Peploviricota; Herviviricetes; Herpesvirales; Orthoherpesviridae.
AACACCCACAAACAACGUCACGACGCAACGUGGUUAAACAGUACGUUUAUUAAAGUAACUGGGUGAACGACAUCGGAGCGGACUGCAAAUCGCAACGCUACUUUCUCGAGUGCAGAUACUCUUCGAGACGGCUAAACAACGUGUCCAACUCGCUGAGACCUUUCCGCGUGCCGUUAUCCGAUUUCCUUUCCGCCUCCUGAGACAGCCGACUAAUCACGGACUUAUCUCCGCAACCUAACAGAGGCUGGGAGCCCGACAAAAGUAAAACAGCGUGCUAUGAACACGUUGUUACCUCUGCGCGGACAGCGCCGCCACAGAGACACUUACGCAUUGCCGCAUGUCUUUGUAGAUGGAUUCUAGCGUCGAGCGCAUACUAUGCAAUUCCGUCUUAAGUCCAGGAUAGACGUGGUCGCCUGCGGGGAACACGAUCUCCAGAUACCGCCUCAACAACCAGUCCAUGACGCUGCAUCCCCAACAGCCUUUGACCACCGUACCGUCGAGCCACACGGAGUAGUCGUCCUCAUGUUGCUACAAGAGGAAAACUACGUCACCCGACACGCGGAAAAGAAAGACCGUCACAAUAAACCGUACCUACGUGACCUACCAACGUAGGUUUUACUCGAUGAAAGGUGACGCGGAGAUCUUGCAAUCUGGUCGCGUAAUCCUCCGGACGACACUGCGGCUUUGUAUUCUUUAUCGUCGUCGUCGCCGCCGGCUUCGCCUCCUCGGAAGCGCCUAGAAAAAAGACGAUCAGGACCAGAGAGGAAGAGACCAUCACCGACAGCAUCGCCGCAGCAUGCCGCCCCAGUCCGCCGCCCAACUGCGCGUCCCAGAUACCACUCGUAGACUGUCAGCCUCGCGAGGAGACACCGCGGACCGGGGAAACGGAUAAGUUUACGAACAGAAAUCUCAAGAGAAAGACGCUGACCCGGCAAGUACCGUCACGGAGACACGGUGGUUUUUAUUGAAUUUCCAGUGUAUCGAGCCACCGUGAUGCAGGUACGGUGGUUUUAUGUGAAGUGCCGCUACCUAUAGGCGAUGUGUUCCCUGACGGUGUGUGUUUUUUUUGGGGAUAGACAACGUGGUUCUUGUACGUGGUUUUUACCCUGCUCAAUAAAGUCACGUUUUCCUUACACGGUGUUGUGUC